RNAcentral lists this ribosomal RNA (468 nucleotides) under uncultured bacterium. RNAcentral describes it as "partial 16S ribosomal RNA". It matches the Rfam family "Bacterial small subunit ribosomal RNA", at positions 28 to 507 of the family's 1533-position model. The record is from RNAcentral.
GACGAACGCUGGCGGCGUGCUUAACACAUGCAAGUCGAACGGAAAGGCCCUGCUUUUGUGGGGUGCUCGAGUGGCGAACGGGUGAGUAACACGUGAGUAACCUGCCCUUGACUUUGGGAUAACUUCAGGAAACUGGGGCUAAUACCGGAUAGGAGCUCCUGCUGCAUGGUGGGGUUUGGAAAGUUUCGGCGGUUGGGGAUGGACUCGCGGCUUAUCAGCUUGUUGGUGGGGUAGUGGCUUACCAAGGCUUUGACGGGUAGCCGGCCUGAGAGGGUGACCGGCCACAUUGGGACUGAGAGACGGCCCAGACUCCUACGGGAGGCAGCAGUGGGGAAUAUGGCACAAUGGGCGGAAGCCUGAUGCAGCAACGCCGCGUGCGGGAUGACGGCCUUCGGGUUGUAAACCGCUUUCGCCUGUGACGAAGCGUGAGUGACGGUAAUGGGUAAAGAAGCACCGGCUAACUACGUG